CGCGGUGUAGCUCAGCAGGUCAGAGCGUCCGGUUCAUACCCGGGAGGUCGAGGGUUCGAUUCCCCCUGCCGCGA
RNAcentral lists this transfer RNA (74 nucleotides) under Levilactobacillus bambusae. It matches the Rfam family "tRNA". Rfam says of the family: Transfer RNA (tRNA) molecules are approximately 80 nucleotides in length. Lineage: Bacteria; Bacillati; Bacillota; Bacilli; Lactobacillales; Lactobacillaceae. The record is from Rfam by way of RNAcentral.